Mus musculus (house mouse) is the source of this 221-nucleotide long non-coding RNA. RefSeq annotates it as predicted gene, 32121. The transcript has 3 exons. The record is from RefSeq and is a predicted model, not a curated record. Lineage: Eukaryota; Metazoa; Chordata; Mammalia; Rodentia; Muridae.
GCGGAAGAUGGGGAACCUGAUGGUGUACUACGCAGCUUCUCCUUGCCUUCCACUGGAAACCAACUUAAAUGGAUAGAAAGGACAUUGUUCGUUUCCUUUGAAAUUUUUUGAGCAAUGGACACAUGCAUUUUCCAUUGAAGACUGUGGGAAACCACCAUGUCAGCAAAACACUGCCUACCCCCACAGCACAGAAAUGAUCCUGUGCCACAGAUCUUCAGGCC